RNAcentral lists this long non-coding RNA (1305 nucleotides) under Mytilus galloprovincialis (Mediterranean mussel). The record is from RNAcentral. Lineage: Eukaryota; Metazoa; Mollusca; Bivalvia; Mytilida; Mytilidae.
AAAGUUCUGAUUAUAACUAAAAGCAAGUGUGAAAAUUAAUCAAAUGGAUAAGGUAAAUAAAAAUCAAACAUAUUCAAACUUUAUAAUAUAUUCACAUUUCCAACAACCCAUAUAAUAAGUUUGUAUUAAUUGAAAUUCCAUUGCGAUGUAAAAUAAUUAACAGCAAAAAUUAAAGUUCAGUGAUAUACAAAUGAAAAAUGAAAAUAAAUAUCCAAUAUAUUGAUGCGUGUUAAUCUUUUUAUCCAGAUUGAACGCUUAUAUAUAAAUACAAAAUUAAGUAAAAUAGUCAUAAAAAAUAAACAAAAAUAGGAAAAGAAAAAAACUUUCAACAAGUUAUUCUCUGUGAAUUUUAAGUUGUCCGUUUACCAAUUUUUGGUCAGUAUGCAACAGUGAGUAAAGGAACAUAGUCAGUAUUAACAUAUGUGAAAAUACAAAUGAAUUAUUGAUUGAUGUUAACUUUGCGCCGCCUUAUUGCAAAAAGGCUAUAUCGCGGCGAGAGCUAAUUCAAAUGAUUUACAAUUUAAAUUAUUUAUAAAUUCAAAAAAAAAAUUAUACUAAAAAUUCAUGUCUUUAGUAAAAUUUCGUAUGUACAAAUAGAAAUUCAACACUAAAAUAAGGUGAUUAAAUUAAAAUCAUUUUAAAUCCAUACAACAUUUUUAUAUUUUACAAUAUAUUCAAGCUUCUUUUUAGUAUGAAACAUUAUUUUUAAUUGGGAAGCUAUCCAAUAAAUCAUACAUAUAAAUGACAUUACAAUGCUUCCUACGAAUAUCAGCAAAAUAUUCUGUAUUAACAAAUUUGAACAUCCAAAGUGAACUGUUUACAAAACAUAUUGUUUUGAGUUAAAAAGGAGAUACAUACACAUUUUGUCAAAACCAUGUUAGUAAAAAUUAAAAUAACAAAAAUACAGAAAUCUGAGGAAAAUUCAAAACGGAUAGUCCCUAAUAAAAUGGCAAAAUCAAAAGCUUGAAAACAUGUAACGAAUGGAUAACAACUGCAAAAUUUAUUUAGCUUUUGCAAAUUUUAGGUAUAAUAUAUUUAUUUUAAAACUCAUCUAGACGAUGCCUUUAUAUUUGUAUUUGACACAUAAACCUAUUUUCCUUACAAAUCAUCUAACAAAAACCGAACCCUCAUUAUGUGAUACAAUGUCAAACACUUACUGAUAAUAAUUUUAAUGCAUCAUUAUCUUAAAAAAAAACAUUUAGGAUAUUAUUUGUAUUAUAGUUAUGAGUUAAAGUCAUAUGAAACCUCAAAUAAAAAAAAAUGCAUUUGUUUUUUUAUAACUAAAUGGAUAGUUUUCAUUAUAAA